GAUCAGGAGAGGGGCAGAGAGAGAGUGAGAGAGAGAGAAUCCCAAGCAGGCUCCAUACUAUCAGCACGGAGCCUGACACGGGGCUUGAACUCACGAACCGUGAGACCAUGACCUGAGCCAAAAUCAAGAGUUGUACACCUAACCAAUUGAGCCUCCUAGACCCCCCAAGAUGUUUUAAAUCCCCAAGGAGACAGUGAGGAUAUUUUUAAGACCAGAUGGUAAUUACCUUUGAACUUGAAUGUGUUUGAAAGCAACUACAAAAGCAUUGGAAACAUAAAAGAGCAUAGUAACAUAUGUAUUCGGAGAACAGUGAAAAGGACAGUUUUCCUGGAGUAUGGAGUCUAUGUGGGCAGGAGUUGGAGUAGAUGAGGACAGACAGGUAGGUCAGGUCCAGGUUGGUAAAGGUCUGGAAUAUCACCUGAAGGAAUGUGUUUUCAUCUUUGAAGGAGUGCUUGCAGAGGAUUUUUAAAAAUAAAUGUGCUGGGCCUAGGUUUGCUUUUCAGAAUGGCCACUCUGGUGUAGACAAUGGAAUGGUAGAACAUGAGAUUAGAGGUGGCAGUCAAUCCAGUUCUAAAACAAUCACAGUAAUCCAGCAGAAGGCUGUGGCAGUGGGGAUGCCUCCCUACAAAGCAAUGGCAGUUGAAGGGGCUUGAACUACUGUUGUAAGGAUUUCUGGUGCCAUGGGCCAAAUGUGGGAACUGUCCCCUACAAGUCUUACCCUCCCUUAAAGACCACCUCCUUCAUAAAUCCACUCUCAAUCCAUUAUCACUACCCCCACCAUACCCCACCCCCAUCUCUCUUCCUUCUCUGUGGCUCCAGCAGGCUGUAUGCUCUCUACAAUAAAACUAAUCAUUUGACUUUGUAAUCAGGGCAUUCAUUCUCAAAUUGUUUUUUUUUCUUCUUAUAUCCAUUCAUAUUUUUUAAAUUGAGAUUCAAGUUAGUUAACAUAUAGUGUAGUAUUGGUUUCAGGAGUAGAAUAUAGUGAUUCAUCACUUAUAUAUAACACCCAGUGCUCACCCCAACAAGUGCCCUCCUUAAUGCCCAUCACCCAUCUAGCCCAUCCAGCCUCCCACCUCCCCACUAUCAACCCUCAGUUUUUUCUUUGUAUUUAAGGGUCUUUUACGGUUUGCCUCCCUCUCUGCUUUUAUCUUAUUUUUGCUUCCCUUCCUCUAUAUUCAUCUAUUGUGCUUCUUAAAUUCCACAUAUGAGUGAAAUGAUGAUAUUUGUCUUUCUCAGAUUGACUUACUUAGUUUAGCAUAAUACACUCUAGUUCCAUCCACAUUGUUGCAAAUGGCAAGAUUUAAUUCUUUUUCAUCACUGAGUAAUAUUACAUUGUGUGUGUGUGUGUGUGUGUGUGUGUGUGUAUCCAUUCAUCAUCAGUUGAUGGACAUUUGGGCUCUUUCCAUACUUUGGCUAUUGUUAUAGCAUUGCUAUAAAUAUUGGGGUGCAUGUGCUCCUUCAUAUCAGUAUUUUUAACUCCUUUGGAUAAAUACCUGGUAGUGCAAUUGCUGGGUCAUAGGGUAGUUCUAUUUUUGAACUUUUUGAGGAACCUCCAUACUGUUCUCCAGAGUGGCUGCACCAGUUUGCAUUCCCACCAACAGUGCAAAAGGUGCUGGGAAAACUGGACAGUAGCAUGCAGAAGAAUGAAAUUGGACCACUUUCUACACCAUACACAAAAAUAAAUUCAAAAUGGGUGAAAGACCUAAAUGUAAUAUAGGAAGCCAUCAGAAUUCUGGAGGAGAAAACAGUCAGCAACUUCUUUGACCUCGGCUACAGCAACUUCUUACUAGACAUGUCUCUGGAGGCAAAGGAAACAAAAGCAGAAAUGAACUACUGGGACCUCAUCAAGAUAAAAAGCUUCUGCACAGCAGAGGAAACAAUCAGAAAAACUAAAAGGCAACUGGCCAAAUGGCAGAAGAUAUUUGCAAAUGACAUUUUGGAUAAAGGUUUCCAUGGAGUAAAACACUCAGCUAGACAUAUACUAGGUGCUCAGUAGGCAUCGGACUUGGAGCCGAGGAGACCUUCCUGUCCAUCUUCUCUUCCUACAAUGCUACCAACUCCAGCCUUCCCCAAGGAGGCUCAUGAUUGGCCUAUGACAAAGGUAAUAUGUGCUCAAAAAAAUUGAGAGAGACAUCCAGAAGAAAACACAAAUGUCUUGAAAUCCUAACUCCCAGAGCCAAUCACCGUCAACCUUUGUAUAAGCAUUCUUCUGAUCCCUUUCUUCCCACACAACUACUUGUGGAGAUGUGGCUACUCUGAGGUACAUGCUGUGAUCCUUUACCUGCCAUUUGGCCUUCAUAGUGUGUUGUGGACAGCUCUUCGUGUCAUUGCAUAUAUACGUGUAGCUGGGUAUUCAUCCCCUUCAGUGGCUGCAUAGCAUUGCACUUUACCAGCAUGUUAUCCUCUAUUUACCCCAGUCCACUAUUGAUAACUGGGUUGUUUCCAGAUUUACAUUAUUCUAUGCAACACCAAAGUCAAAUAACCUUCUGUUACAUCUUUGCAAACUUGUCAGGCUAUCUUUUAUGGAUAAAUUCCUCGCAGUGGCAUUGAUGGAGCAAAUGGUGACGUUCAAGUCAUCUAAAAUAUGUUAUUUCCUUUAAACUCAUGAUACUUCUGAAUCAUUUUUAACUAAAUGCCAAAUGCAGUGAAUUGAUCUUAGAAAAGUAAUUGACAACAUUUUCUAAAAGCUUCCCCAGGCCUGUGAGGAAGAUUGAUGAUACUGGGAUGUGGGGUUCCCUUUAACUUCUUCAUUUUCACCCAAGUCUCUAUUGUUUUUACUUCUUCUGUGCCUCCCUCACAGAUUGAUGACUUUCCCCAUUUUAGAACUGAACCCCUUAGCAUUCACCAUUUGUAUUUUAGGUCGUCUCAAAUUAGUACACAGGUAAUGGCAACAGAUAAUAACAAUAGCAAACACUUGUAUGGCAUGUACAGUGUGUCAGGCAUGCAGUUGUAUGUACUUUUCAAAUAUAGCUGAGUUCAUCUUAUAAAAAGUCUUAGGUAGAAAUUGCCAACAUCUCCAUUUCACUGGUGAAGAAACGUAGGCCCUAAAAGACUAAAUGAUUUGUUCAAAUUCAGACAGCAAAUAUGUGGUUGAGCCAGGAAUAAAACCUGUGCAGUUUGGCUCCAGAAGCUUACAGGUUCAUCUAAGCCAAUGUGCCUUCCCUUGCCAGUUCACAAAGGUGGUAGACACAGGUGCUCCAUGCCCUAGCUACUCAACUUCUGUGAGCAGCCAGUCAUAAUCCCUUCCUCCCCCAGCAUCUCAGUUGAAUUAAGAUGUGGAAGUUACCUGUGUUCAUUUGGUAGGAUGUAAGCCUCUUCUUGUGUUUGAAUGAACCCUCUAGAACUAAUACAAGAUCCUGCUUUCUACAUCUCUCUUUCCCCUCCCUAUUGUUCAAGGCCAAGUUCACCAUACUCAUUCUGGAACAAAAGUCUCUUCUGGUUCUUUAUUCAAGGCAGUGGGCAAUUUUGCAUAGGACCUUGAUUCUUUCAUGCCGUUCUAGACUUCAGGGCUGGAGGAAACUGGGAUUUCUCCCUUCCUUGUUUGUAAAUAAUGUCUCUUGUUGGCAGAGUUUGUUUUAAUCAUAAAAGUAUGUUGUGUUGGUUGCAGAAAAAAAAUUUAACAGACAGAAAAGUAUAAAGAAGCAAAUAAAAUCACUUGUUAGAGGAAAGCAC
This is a long non-coding RNA of Neofelis nebulosa (Clouded leopard), 3672 nucleotides long. RefSeq lists it as uncharacterized. The record is from RefSeq and is a predicted model, not a curated record. NCBI's taxonomy places the organism in Eukaryota, Metazoa, Chordata, Mammalia, Carnivora, Felidae. The transcript is spliced from 3 exons.